Molecule: long non-coding RNA, 491 nt
Filed under: Coturnix japonica (Japanese quail)
Lineage: Eukaryota; Metazoa; Chordata; Aves; Galliformes; Phasianidae
Description: lncRNA (ENSCJPG00005001726.1)
Source: RNAcentral
AGCUGGGUCGUACUAUGGUGUGCUGUAUUAUGGGGCUGUGUCUAUGGGGCUGAAGCUCUAUCUAUGGGCUGAGCCUCUACCUAAUAUGGGGCUUAUCUCUCUAUGGGUCCUGCCCCACACUUGUAGGGUCUGUCGACAUCCUGGUGAGGCAUGGUGAGCUGACUGCCAAGUGUAGUGUUAUGGGCUGGGGUCUAUCUAUCUAUAGGGCUGUAUCUCUCUAUGGGGCUGAGCUGUAUCUAUGGGUCCUGCCCCACACUUGUAGGUCUGUCUGACAUCCCCGGUGAGGCCAUGGUGAAGCUGUAUUGCCCCAAGUGUUGUGUCUAUGGGGCUGGGGGCUCUAUCUAUCUAUGGGGCUGGGGGCUCUAUAUGGCUAUAACUAUCUAUGGGUCUUGCCACACUAUGUAGGUCUGGCUCUAGACAUCCGGUUGAGGCCAUGUGAGCUGUACUCAAGUGUUGUUUAUGGGGCUGGGGGCUCUAUCUAUUAUGGGGCU